UCAAGCGACUAAGUGUAUGUGGUGGAUGCCUUGGCGAUUACAGGCGAUGAAGGACGUCGCAGCCUGCGAAAAGCCGUGGGGAGCUGGCAAGCGAGCACUGAUCCACGGAUGUCCGAAUGAGGGAACUCACCCGCAAGGGUAUCUUGAAGUGAAUACAUAGCUUCAAGAGGCGAACGCAGCGAACUGAAACAUCUAAGUAGCUGCAGGAAAAGAAAUCAACCGAGAUUCUGAAAGUAGCGGCGAGCGAAAUUGGAAGAGCCUGCAAGUGAUAUUGAAUUCGAUACUGGAACGGUCUGGAAAGUCCGGCUACAGAGGGUGACAGCCCCGUACGGGAAAUUGGGUUCAAGGUACUGAGCUUGCGAGAAGUAGAGCGGGACACGUGAAAUCCUGCUCGAAGAUGGGGGGACCAUCCUCCAAGGCUAAAUACUCGUAAUCGACCGAUAGCGAACCAGUACUGUGAAGGAAAGGCGAAAAGAACCCCGGGAGGGGAGUGAAAUAGAUCCUGAAACCGCAUACAUACAAACAGUAGGAGCCCGCAAGGGUGACUGCGUACCUUUUGCAUAAUGGGUCAGCGACUUACGUUCAAUGGCAAGCUUAACCGAGUAGGGGAGGCGCAGCGAAAGCGAGUCCGAACAGGGCGACAUGAGUCGUUGGGCGUAGACCCGAAACCAGAUGAUCUAUCCAUGGCCAGGCUGAAGGUGUGGUAACACACACUGGAGGGCCGAACCGACUAGUGUUGCAAAAUUAGCGGAUGAGCUGUGGAUAGGGGUGAAAGGCUAAACAAAUCUGGAGAUAGCUGGUUCUCCCCGAAAACUAUUGAGGUAGUGCCUCGUGUAUGGCUCCAGGGGGUAGAGCACUGUUAUGGCUAGGGGGACAUGGCGUCUUACCAAACCAUGGCAAACUCCGAAUACUUGGAAGUCUGAGCACGGGAGACAGAGCACCGGGUGCUAACGUCCGGACUCAAAAGGGAAACAACCCAGACCGCCGGCUAAGGUCCCUAAUAUUGACUAAGUGGAAAACGAAGUGGGAAGGCUAAGACAGUCAGGAAGUUGGCUUAGAAGCAGCCAUCCUUCAAAGAAAGCGUAAUAGCUCACUGAUCGAGUCUUCCUGCGCGGAAGAUGUAACGGGGCUAAGUCAAUAACCGAAGCCGCGGAUUCGCAGCAAUGCGAGUGGUAGGGGAGCGUUCUGUAAGCCUGCGAAGGCGGAUCUGCGAGGACCGCUGGAGGUAUCAGAAGUGCGAAUGCUGACAUGAGUAACGUUAAAGCGGGUGAAAAGCCCGCUCGCCGCAAGCCCAAGGUUUCCUGCUCUACGUUCAUCGGAGCAGGGUGAGUCGGCCCCUAAGGUCAGGCUGAGAAGCGUAGCUGAUGGGAAGCUGGUUAAUAUUCCAGCACCGAUUUCAAGUGCGAAGGGGGGACGGAGUCCUGAAGGUCAUCCGGGUGUUGGAUAUCCCGGUUUACGAGCGUAGGAGGUUGACAGGCAAAUCCGUCAACGGAUCUCCAAGGCGAAGGAUCGAGGUUGAGAGAUCAACUGAAGUGACUGAAUGGGCUUCCAGGAAAAGCCUCUAAGCAUCAGCUUGGAAUUGACCGUACCGCAAACCGACACUGGUGGGCGAGCUGAAUAUGCUCAGGCGCUUGAGAGAACUCAGGAGAAGGAACUCGGCAAAUUGACACCGUAACUUCGGGAUAAGGUGUGCCUUUGUAGUGUGAAGAGAGAAACACUCCGAGCAUGAAGAGGCCUCAGAGAAUCGGUGGCUGCAACUGUUUACUAAAAACACAGCACUCUGCAAAGAUGAAAGUCGACGUAUAGGGUGUGAUGCCUGCCCGGUGCUGGAAGAUUAAUUGAUGGGGUGCAAGCUCCUGAUCGAAGUCCCAGUAAACGGCGGCCGUAACUAUAACGGUCCUAAGGUAGCGAAAUUCCUUGUCGGGCAAGUUCCGACCUGCACGAAUGGCAUAAUGAUGGCCACACUGUCUCCUCCUGAGACUCAGUGAAGUUGAAAUGUUUGUGAUGAUGCAAUCUCCCCGCGGCUAGACGGAAAGACCCCAUGAACCUUUACUGCAGCUUUGCAUUGGACUUUGAACCGAUCUGUGUAGGAUAGGUGGGAGGCAGUGAAGCUAGGACGCCAGUCUUAGCGGAGCCAACCUUGAAAUACCACCCUGAUUUGUUUGAGGUUCUAACCUAGGAGCGUGAUCCGCUUCGG
RNAcentral lists this ribosomal RNA (2197 nucleotides) under human gut metagenome. RNAcentral's name for it is "bacterial LSU rRNA". It matches the Rfam family "Bacterial large subunit ribosomal RNA", at positions 3 to 2248 of the family's 2925-position model. The record is from RNAcentral.